GAUUGAGAAGUCUGCUGGACAUAUCACAAGUGCGAAUGCUGACAUGAGUAACGAUAAUGGGAGUGAAAAACUCCCACGCCGGAAGACCAAGGUUUCCUGUCCCAUGCUAAUCAGGGCAGGGUAAGUCGGCCCCUAAGGCGAGGCAGAAAUGCGUAGUCGAUGGGAAACGGAUUAAUAUUUCCGUACUUAUAUAAUCAGUGAUGGAGGGACGGAGAAGGCUAAACAAGCUUGGCGUUGGUAGUCCAAGUGAAAGUGUGUAGGCCGAGAACUUAGGUAAAUCCGGGUUCUUAAAGCUGAGACACGAGACGAGCCACUACGGUGGUGAAGUUGUUGAUGCCCUGCUUCCAGGAAAAGCUUCUAAACUUAUGAUUAUAUGAACCGUACCCCAAACCGACACAGGUGGUCAGGUAGAGAAUACUAAGGCGCUUGAGAGAACUCGGGUGAAGGAACUCGGCAAAAUUGUACCGUAACUUCGGGAGAAGGUACGCCCUUGUUUGUGAUAGGACUUGCUCCUUGAGCGAAUGAGGGCCGCAGUGACCAGGUGGCUGGGACUGUUUAUUAAAAACACAGCACUCUGCUAACUCGCAAGAGGACGUAUAGGGUGUGACACCUGCCCGGUGCCGGAAGGUUAAUUGAUGGGGUUAUCUUCGGAGAAGCUCUUGAUCGAAGCCCCGGUAAACGGCGGCCGUAACUAUAACGGUCCUAAGGUAGCGAAAUUCCUUGUCGGGUAAGUUCCGACCUGCACGAAUGGUGUAACCAUGGCCACGCUGUCUCCACCCGAGACUCAGUGAAAUUGAAAUCGCAGUGAAGAUGCUGUGUACCCGCACCUAGACGGAAAGACCCCGUGAACCUUUACUACAGCUUGGCACUGAACAUUGAACCUACAUGUGUAGGAUAGGUGGGAGGCUUCGAAGCACAGUCGCUAGAUUGUGUGGAGCCGUCCUUGAAAUACCACCCUUGUAUGUUUGAUGUUCUAACAUUGGUCCCUUAUCGGGAUUAUGGACAGUGUCUGGUGGGUAGUUUGACUGGGGCGGUCUCCUCCCAAAUAGUAACGGAGGAGCACGAAGGUUAGCUAAUCACGGUCGGACAUCGUGAGGUUAGUGCAAUGGCAUAAGCUAGCUUAACUGCGAGACAGACACGUCGAGCAGGUACGAAAGUAGGUCAUAGUGAUCCGGUGGUUCUGUAUGGAAGGGCCAUCGCUCAACGGAUAAAAGGUACUCCGGGGAUAACAGGCUGAUACCGCCCAAGAGUUCAUAUCGACGGCGGUGUUUGGCACCUCGAUGUCGGCUCAUCACAUCCUGGGGCUGAAGUCGGUCCCAAGGGUAUGGCUGUUCGCCAUUUAAAGUGGUACGCGAGCUGGGUUUAGAACGUCGUGAGACAGUUCGGUCCCUAUCUGGUGUGGGCGUUGGAUGAUUGAUGGGAGCUGCUCCUAGUACGAGAGGACCGGAGUGGACGAACCGCUGGUGUUCGGGUUGUCAUGCCAAUGGCAUUGCCCGGUAGCUACGUUCGGAACGGAUAACCGCUGAAAGCAUCUAAGCGGGAAGCCGGCCCAAAGAUGAGUCAUCCCUGACUUUUAAAGUCCGGAAGGGUUGUUAUAGACGAUGACGUUGAUAGGCAGGAUGUGGAAGCGUUGUAAGGCGUUAAGCUAACCUGUACUAAUUGCCCGAGAGGCUUAACCAU
This 1680-nucleotide ribosomal RNA is filed under the name Alteromonas sp. 1_MG-2023. Its description in RNAcentral is "partial 23S ribosomal RNA". It matches the Rfam family "Bacterial large subunit ribosomal RNA", at positions 1259 to 2925 of the family's 2925-position model. Lineage: Bacteria; Pseudomonadati; Pseudomonadota; Gammaproteobacteria; Alteromonadales; Alteromonadaceae. The record is from RNAcentral.